Felis catus (domestic cat) is the source of this 869-nucleotide long non-coding RNA. RefSeq lists it as uncharacterized. Lineage: Eukaryota; Metazoa; Chordata; Mammalia; Carnivora; Felidae. The transcript has 2 exons. The record is from RefSeq and is a predicted model, not a curated record.
UACUGUAAUGAGAAAGCGGUCACAGACGAUGUGCAAACAAAGACGUGUGGCAGCGUCACAAUUAAAAUGCAUUUAUACAAUCAGAUGUGGGCCAGAAUUAGCCUUUGGGUCACUGCUUGGAGUCCUCUGCCUUAGAUCCUGGAGGCUGUGAGGCUGUGACCCCUGUCUUGGAACUGAGUCUCUCCUUUAUCCUUCCGGGUUGAAGGAAACUCCUAUCUCAGGCAACCAGCGGCAAGUAAAAACUUCAUGACAUCCACACAAACUCUGUUCCAAGAGAACCACUCAUUUGCAUCAACAUGAAAAACAGUUUUGGCUUUCUCUUGUCCUGAUUUCCAUUCUGGAUCAGCUUUACCUUGGAAAAACCAAUUUAAGCAUCUCUGCUGCUGUUGAUUUCCUCAUUUGUUUUCUCCCAGUGAAGAAUUCUUAAGCAACCUGAAGACCUCGAAGAAACAAUGAAAUUAGAGCUGUUUUUGUUGUCCUGCUGAUUCUGUAGCUGUAGACGGAGUUCUCAGGCACAGUUCAAGUUUCUGAAAGAUGAAAAGCUCUAUGACCAAUUGAAGAAGCUAGUGGGUCUACCCUUAUGCCUCUUUUCUGUACUUCGAAGUUCAGAAGAUGUAGGACAUCUUGUUGGAGAAACAAAUAAAGUACUGUGCCAAAGAUGGCUGUCGGGAUUAAAACAAGCUCUGGUCUCUAGCUUAGAGACCCCUCUUCUGGGUUCUUCCUGCCCUGUUUGCCUCUUGCGUGAAAACCCCCACAGAUGUGGAAGCUGACAACUAUAGUUGUCCUCCCCACUUGCGUUCAGCAUUCAAAUCUUUGGAGAAAUGGUCUCCUCUGACCCACUGGUGUUAAAUAAAUCUCUGAUCCAUCAA